This 97-nucleotide signal recognition particle RNA is filed under the name Gammaproteobacteria bacterium. RNAcentral's name for it is "signal recognition particle sRNA small type". It matches the Rfam family "Bacterial small signal recognition particle RNA". From Rfam's summary of the family: The signal recognition particle (SRP) is a universally conserved ribonucleoprotein involved in the co-translational targeting of proteins to membranes. Archaeal SRP consists of a 7S RNA and homologues of the eukaryotic SRP19 and SRP54 proteins. The record is from RNAcentral. Lineage: Bacteria; Pseudomonadati; Pseudomonadota; Gammaproteobacteria.
UGCUGGUUCCCUCGCAACGAUAAGACGCGAACCCCGCCAGGCCCGGAAGGGAGCAACGGUAGUGUCCGACUCGUGUGCCGAGAUGUGGCUGGCAGGU